UAAUAAAAUUUAAUGAUCUAAUAAUUAAAUUGAUUUAUUGCAUUCAAAAUACAUGUAUUUGUUUAUUGAGUUUCGAUUGUACAGUCAGUCCAUUGUUUACGGUUUGCCAUUUAAAUCUUUACAACCAUAUAUUUAAACAUACGAAAGAAUAUGCUUUGAAGCGCCUCGUGGACUUUUGUCAUAUAUAAACACGUGUUCCCGCUCAAUUUUCAUUCAAUGAUUAUUUCUCAACAGAAUUGCACAAGGAUAGGACCAGAGCGUAAAUAAGAUAAGUUGGUUAAGUUUAUCCGUUAUACUUUAGAUAUGUUUCCUUUUAUUCAUUUUAAUUCACUAUAAUAAUUUGGUUUAUAUUUAAAGAGCAAACCUUUUUUUACCUGUGAGUUGAAAUUCUGUGACGAUAAAGUAAAACGGGUAACUUUAAAUUUAACACGUGUUCGCAUGUGUUCGUAUAGUUAUAUGUUUCUCGUCACGUUCAUUAUUAAAUUAAUGAAUUGUUUAAUGUCACUUUAAUUAGAUUUAUAUAUAUAUAUGUGCUUAUUUAUGACCAUUCAAUUUCAUUUACUUGUGGUUGUUGCAUUUAAUUCACAGUUCGUUAACAAGGUAUUUUUAUCGAAUAGAAGAAAUGAAGUAAGCCGGAGAUUAAGACCAAGGGUAAACAACGUUGGAGUUCAACGACCUGCUCCUCGUGAAUUACCAGCACCAGAACAGGUACCCGUUCCUGAGGAAGUUGUCCGAGUGGUAAACAGAGGAAGACACGGAAAAAGAAGGCGUGCAGCGCCCGAGCUUCAACAACCAGAUCAACUUGUGGAGCCCAAUAAUCAACCUCCACCUCAGAAACAACUGACAACUACGGCAGUUCACGCUCAACCGGGUAAUACUUUAAAUACUACUGUACUUUGUUUAUACCAUGUUCUAAUGAAAUUAACAUAAUUAUUUCUCAGCAAAUAACAGAGAAAAUUUGGAAUUGUAAAAAUGUUGAUUUUGGUACUCUUCUUCAACAAAAUAGUCAAUAUUAUAGUAGUUUGGACCAGAAACAAAGUGUAAUGGUUAAAAAAUGGAAUGCUUGUCAUUUCUCAUUACCCUUCAAAGGACAAUACAAUAAAUAACAUUGAAUUAUGGACUGAAGCAUUUGAAGUUUUUUUCUAAAAUACUUCUUCAAAAACAUGCUAGCUUAGCACAAGACUUGUUUACAUACAUGUUAAUCAUAAGAGUUUUUAUAUCAGAUGCACAUUUUGACAGAGUUUACCCGUAUAAUGGAAAAUUUAGAUUAAGUGUAUCACUAAAACACUCUAAAUCUUUGUCUGAGAUUGAUGGCUUUCUUUGGUUGAAAUUCAUUGUAAAGGGAUCGCAAGGCACACCUAAUCCUGUAGUCUGCCAGGCUAACUUACAAAGACAUUGUUAUGAUUAUAACUUUAAAGGUUAUUGUCAGAAAUCUCAGUGUUUUACAGACAUAACUGUAUGAAAUGUUCAUUACAACAUCCAGUCUUAUGUGUUAGAUUUGAUAGCUUACAAAGUAACCAAGGUUAUCAUAAGGGAUCAUUGAUGCCACCAGUGUUUAUCCAAAAUAGAUCUCAUAUGUCUAACCAGUUUCGACAAAACAGGCUUUCAUUUGUUCAACAAAAAGAUAUAGGUCACCAAUAAACACAAGGUAUUUCGUCCCUAGAUUUAAUCAAAUGACAUAUAGUUAACUUUUCUUUCAGAAUUGUCAAAGGAUAAAUAUGAUAUUUGGAAGAAGGGACAUUCACCUAUUAAUAUUGAACAAUUAAGAUUAUCCUAAUGAACAGGACAAACAAAUUUUGUUUAUUGGUUUUAAAUUUGGAUUUAGAUUGAAUCAUAAUUGACCAAGAUUUCCACUUGAAUCAAAAAAUUAAAAUCUGUUUUGACAUAUCCUAUUGGAGCUAAAUGUAAGAUUGAAUCUGAAAUAUCGUUAUGAAGAAUAGCAGGUGCUCUUUGUAAGAGACCAAUAUCUAAUCUUAGAUAUUCUCAUAUUGGAUUAGUAACAAAAAAAAAACAAAAUAAAAAAAACCCAGGUUUUUCGUCUGAUUACCCAUUUAUCAUAUCAGCCAUGGAGCAGCGUUAACGACUUCAUCGAUGAAAGGUUUACCUCUGUUAAAUAUUCUUCAUUUGAUAAUGCUGUUGAUUACUUCCGGUUUAUACAUGAGAUUUUGACUAACUUGGUUUUAAAAUUGUAAAUGAAUACUACAUAGACGAGGCAAUGACAUUGGGCUGCUCAAUUUCAUAUACUAAAUUUGAGAAGUUUUUAGCCUUUUUGAAUUGGUUUUAAAAAUAAGUCUGGUUUAAAUAAUAUAGACCACUAUUUGGAAGAAUUUUAAUAUUGUUGGCUAAUCAGAUUCUGAUGAAUGUGAACAACUGAUGUUUCAGAAUGAUGAAAUUUGCAAAGAUAUUGUAGUCUCACUUGCAAAAAAAAAAAAAAAAAAAAAAAAAAAUGAAGGUCCAACUACACUGAUUGAAUAUCUGGGUCUUACAAUUGAUACUGUUAAUAUGCUUGUUUAAAUUCCACAUGAAAAGAUUGAAGAACUUUUAAACAGAAUUAAUAAUUUAUAAGCCAUGAAAAAAGUAACGUUAAAAGAAUUGCAGUCAAUAUGUGGUUCAUUAGUUUUCUGCACGAAGGCUAUACCUGCUGGAAGAGCGUUUAGUUGUAUUCGACCAUGGACAAAGUGUCAAAACUGUUUCACUUUUAUCUAUUGAUAUGGAAAUUAUUUUUGGAACAGUAUAAUAGGAUUUCGUAUUUAAAUGAUAUAGGAUGGAUAUCAAAUUUUUAUUUUGAACUAUAUACAGAUACUGCUGGUGAAUAAGGUAAAGGGUGUGCAAUUUAUAUUAAUGGUCAAUUGAGUGGCAUAAAGAAUGUAAUAGUUCAGAAAUAAUUGAAGAUAUAACAUAUUUUGAAAUCAUUCCAAUAACACUGGUUUGAUAAAUUAUACAAGAAACAUACUUUUUCCCAUUGAUAACCUGGCAGUAGUGAAUGUUUUAAACAAAAUGUCAAGAAAAUAUUAACUAGUUUCGUCCGUUUUUAGUUUAAUUAUUCACUGUUCACUAAUUGGUAAUUUUCAGUUUAAAGCUGUUCACAUUUUGUCAAAGGACAAUGCAAUUGCUGAUGCAUUAUCUCGUGCAAAUUUUCAGAAAUUUCAAUGUCUGCACCACUUGACAGCGAUUUUCCACAUCCAAUUCCAGUGGAGUUCUGGAACCUUUUAAAGAUGAAGUGACUAAACUUUUAAGGCAAUCUGUUUCUUCAAAUACAAUGGAUGUGUAUGAAAAUGCAUCUAUUCAUUCAUAAAUUUCUGACCUGUUUUCGAAUAGAGGAAAGUUGGCCACCUCCUGUUAAUCAUACAAUUAAUUUACAUAGCUUUCAAAAAUAGUUAUUCCUAUAACCUUCAAAAACAUAUCUAUCAGGAAUUAAUCAUAAGUUGAAAAUGAAUAAUUGAAAUGAUUAUAGCAAAUCAUUUAUUUUGAAAAUAAUGUUAAAAGGUAAAAAAGUAAAAGAAAACCUAUUUCUGUUGAUGUAUUAAAACAACUUGAAUUAAUUCUUCAAUGUUUGUAAAUGUUUAGGGGAGGAUUUGCUUAGGCCUUUUUUGGAUUUAUGAGAAUUAGAGAAAUCACAAAACUGAUAAUCAUGUUUAAAAAAAUUCAGAUAUUAAAUUUGAUGAUAUUAAUUCUAAAGUUUUUGUUACAAUUAUGUCUUCUAAGAAGGAUCAAAUUGGUUGUUCGACAAGUUAAAUGUGGACUUCAAAUGAUAAUGAUGAUGAACAUUGUGUUGUCAAAACAUUAACAGAUGACUUACAGUUACAUACAAGUUGAUGUGGGCAGGAAUUUCCGGUAUGUCACUAUAUAAUUUUGUACCAAUAGAAGAGAAUGUGAUACAUGGUGGGGGUUUACCAGAUGCUGUUUUGCUUCACUGUGGUGGCAAUGAAAUUAGACUUGUAAACUGUGUAAAAACUUUUAUUUUAAAUUUAAUUCAUGCUAGAUAUAGUUGGACGUAUGGUGAAUGGAAGUUAAAUUAUUUUUCAAGCAUAUCACCAAGGUUGAAAUGAAGAUGUUCAAAAGAUUUAAAAGCAAUGGAUGCAACCAGGAAACGUACAAAUAGGGGAGUUAAAUCACAUUUAAUUAAAACUGGGGGUUACACUAUAAUUCAUUUUGAUUUUGAAGUCAAACUCUUAUCUUUGGUUAGUCAUGAUGGAGUACAUUUAUCGUUUAUUGGCAAUGAUAUAGUUUUGAAUUCUUUUCAAACUGCUUUAGAACAAUUUGAUAAUAUACCAAAUAAUUCUGUUUAUCCGAUGCAUGAAUGAUGUUUGUUUAUAUUUGUUGUAUGUUGAAAUGAAUAACAACUAGUUGAUAUAUUUUCGUUUAAUUUAUGCUGCUUAUUCAAUUGUCAUGGCGGAUUAGCAUUUGAUUGAGAGUUCAAUAAAAUGCCAAUUUUGGCAGUGAUUUAUUCAAAUAUUGUUCAUUGAGCUGUUAUGGAUCUGCCCAGCAGCUAGAAAUUAUUAUGCAUUUACUGUUGGUUUUACCUUCAGUGACCAAUUGUCAUCAAGUUUUAACUUGUUGGCCAGUUUGUUGAUGUUGGUUGUUUGUUGGUUGAUAUUGUUGAAUAUUGUUGAAUAAAUGCCAUGACAAAUAAUAAGCCAAAUU
Molecule: long non-coding RNA, 4644 nt
Organism: Mytilus californianus (California mussel)
Lineage: Eukaryota; Metazoa; Mollusca; Bivalvia; Mytilida; Mytilidae
Exons: 2
Source: RefSeq, a predicted model, not a curated record